UCAAGUUAAAUAAGAAAUGUAUGGAAUGAGUACUCAAAAGGAUUCUUUUCUUUUUGUCUAAAAUACAAUAUUGUGAACUGGGAUAGCUUAAUAAUUUAUGAGAUUGAAAACCAAAUAAAUAGUCAAGGUGAACAAAUAAUAUAUUUAACAGUACAUAUUACUGUGUAAAUUAAUAUUCUACAAGUGUGCAAAGUUCAAAUCAAUUGAAAAAUGGACUGGCUUGGUUGAAUACAUUGAUUAUGUUAUUGACAACUAUGGAUAGGUAUCAACUACAUGUAAGUGGAAAUAUUUUAUAUGUAUAUAUAUAUAUGAUAUAUAUAAAAUAUAUUUCUGCUGAAGUAAAUUGAUUAUAAAUAAUAAUAAUAGUGUAAUACAGUUACUUAUCAAUUUCUUAUGAUUAAUAGCUAUACCUUUAAAUCAUAAUGUUUUUGUCAUAAGAUUGACAUUGAUGUUCUUAAAG
Long non-coding RNA from Sipha flava (yellow sugarcane aphid), 460 nucleotides. RefSeq lists it as uncharacterized. The record is from RefSeq and is a predicted model, not a curated record. NCBI's taxonomy places the organism in Eukaryota, Metazoa, Arthropoda, Insecta, Hemiptera, Aphididae. The transcript has 3 exons.